AGCGAACGCUGGCGGCAGGCCUAACACAUGCAAGUCGAACGACCUCUUCGGAGUUAGUGGCGGUCGGGUGAGUCACACGUCGGAACGUGCCUUUUGGUUCGGAAUAACUCAGUGUAACUUGUGCUAAUACCGAAUGUGCCCUUCGGGGGAAAGAUUUAUCGCCAUUAGAGCGGCCCGCGUCCUAUUAGCUAGUUGGUGGUGUAACGGCGCACCAAGGCGACGAUCAGUAGCUGGUCUGAGAGGAUGACCAGCCACACUGGGACUGGGACGCGGCCGAGACUCCUGGGCGAGGCAGGAGUGGGGAAUCUUGCGAAAUGGGGGAAGGGCAGACGCAGCCAUGGCGGGUGAAUGCUGAUGUUGUGAGGAUAGAAAAGUAGUUUCACACGGGACGAUAAUGACGGUACCCGGAGAAGAAGCCCCGGCUAACUUCGUG
Molecule: ribosomal RNA, 433 nt
Filed under: uncultured bacterium
Lineage: Bacteria
Description: partial 16S ribosomal RNA
Rfam family: Bacterial small subunit ribosomal RNA
Source: RNAcentral